This 253-nucleotide ribosomal RNA is filed under the name uncultured bacterium. RNAcentral's name for it is "partial 16S ribosomal RNA". It matches the Rfam family "Bacterial small subunit ribosomal RNA", at positions 524 to 776 of the family's 1533-position model. The record is from RNAcentral.
UACGAAGGGGGCUAGCGUUGCUCGGAAUUACUGGGCGUAAAGCGCACGUAGGUGGUUCGUUAUGUCGGAUGUGAAAGCCCUCGGCUCAACUGAGGAAGUGCAUCCGAAACUGGCGAGCUAGAGUAUGUAAGAGGGUCGCGGAAUUCCCGGUGUAGAGGUGAAAUUCGUAGAUAUCGGGAGGAACACCGGUGGCGAAGGCGGCGACCUGGGACAAUACUGACACUGAGGUGCGAAAGCGUGGGGAGCAAACAGG